AAGUCGUAACAAGGUUUCCGUAGGUGAACCUGCGGAAGGAUCAUUAACACGUUAUCCACGUAUCAACCAAUCGAGAACUUGUUUUCACGUCUCCCUUUGCAAUUUGAAUGAAUUGGCUAACCAGUUUGAGGGAAUUGAUGUGGAUUGCAUUCAUUUGCAAUCGGCCUUCCUGGUAUACUUAUGAGCUAUUGAAAAAUAGUUUGUUAACAAUUGUAUCUUAUUGCUGAAAGGCCAAAUUUCUUUCGAUAUUUUGAUCUCCAUCAUGAUCAAUAAAGUAUUGAAGGAGAAACCUUAUAAAACUAUUUUCACCACCUUUUUGCUAGUUGACUUUUUAUAUGUGAUUGUUUUGCUUAAUUGCAAUGUAGUCGCACGUUUAAUUACUUGAACGUUAAAAAAUACAACUCUUAGCAAUGGAUAUCUUGGUUCUC
RNAcentral lists this unclassified non-coding RNA (428 nucleotides) under fungal sp. Its description in RNAcentral is "partial internal transcribed spacer region". The stretch from base 1 to 46 matches the Rfam family "Eukaryotic small subunit ribosomal RNA", at positions 1786 to 1831 of the family's 1831-position model. Lineage: Eukaryota; Fungi. The record is from RNAcentral.